RNAcentral lists this long non-coding RNA (2594 nucleotides) under Homo sapiens (human). RNAcentral describes it as "non-protein coding LINC02344:5". Lineage: Eukaryota; Metazoa; Chordata; Mammalia; Primates; Hominidae. The record is from RNAcentral.
UAGAGGAGUUGGCGAGCGCAGAGGUUAAUAACCUAGCGCGGCGUUUCUGGUGGCCAGGCAUCCCGGUCCUCGCGCGUGGCGCAGCCUCCCAGCGCCGGACCGACCCAUGUCGCGCCCGCAUUGGGUCCCGGGACCCCGGCGGGAGUGCCGCGUCCGUCCUUUCCAGUCGCCGGGAGUCUGAGUCGCGGGCCACGCGGGAGUGGCGGUGGAGAGCCCGCCGGUCGUUAUGAGGACGGAUCUAAAAUGACCAGCAAACGGAAACCUUGCCAAACGCAGCUCAGGAGAUCCAUCAGUGAGCAGUUGCGGGACUCCACGGCCAGAGCCUGGGAUCUGCUGUGGAAGAACGUCCGGGAGAGGCGGCUGGCAGGACUAUCUCUUGAGCUGGGCAGUGACCACCACAUGGGGCAGAAGAAAGUUCUAGAGAAGAAGGUCUGAUGCCUAGAAAGAAGGAAAGGACACCACUGGUGAAGCGGGAGAUUUAACCUUCUUUGAACUCCUCCCUUUUUUCCUUACUUGAACUGUAAAGCAAGUGGUUUGCUAGGUGUUCUGCCCUUAAACCCAUGCACCCACAUCCUCAUCAGCCUGAAAGCAUUCUGGGGAAGAUGCCCAGAAUCUAUAGCACCUUGAGAGAAGGUCACUAGCAAGCUAAAUUAGAAGUGGAGAUUAUGGAUGAUUCCAACACUCAAUGUUGUAAGCAUACAAUGUUCAUUCCACAUUUUCUCUCCAACACAGGAAAUACAAGAAUGGAUGCCUUCUCUUACUUCUCUUGCAAAUCAGUGCCUAGCAAACUUCUAAAAGGUGAAUUGUUGAUAGAUUAUAUGACUUAUUUUUCUUCAAGCUUUUUAAUAUGACAAGGGAAUUCCAGCCAGUAUUUUUACCUCUUCUUUCUUUUCAGAGUCAUGAAGUAUUAGAGCACAUGGAUGUCUUAUAGAUGAUCUUGUCCAAGUCAUUCAUUUUAGAAGAGCUGAUGGAACUUCAGAGAGGUUAAAUUCACCUGUUGCAGGUCACCUAUCUCCUUAGUGACAAGUUUGAGAUUACAGCCCAACUUCAAGUCACACUGACUCUUGUGAUUAUAAGUGAAAUCAUACUUGGCCACUCAUUCCUGAGCAAGAUGCCUGUUUCUGAAAUUAGUCUCUAGAGUACCAACUUUUCAGGAGAAAAGAUGGUACCUUACUUACCUUCAAGAGCAAAGCCUUUCCCAUGUUUCAUAAGUGUUUCUUGGCAGCCUAACUGACUCAGUGACUGAUUAAAGGAAAGACUGAAGGACAUGAAAGGCAUUGACUUGCUCCCUCCUAAGUGAGUUCCUCCUCAGUUUACCUCUGAUGACCCCAAACCCCACCUGUCCUGCCAUGAUCCCAACCUCAGGUGUUUGGUGCACCUGUCAGCUUUGUAGACUUGUGCCAGAUAAACUCCUACCCUCCAGCCUCCUUCUAAGGUGCAAUUGGAAAUUUUCAUUUUACAGCUAAAGGAACCUAAUACUGCUGUUGUUAUUGCAUGUUGGAGGGAGGAGGGAAAUGGAGAAGGCAUAAAAUUAUUUUCUGACUCCAGGAUGACAAAAAUAUGUGAAUCCAUUUUCUUUUCUCUCUCAUGAGCAUCACAAGCCCGUUUAUUUUUAUAUCCAUUCUGUCUAAAUUACUUUGCUCUACAACUUUAUAGCAUAAUCAUGAGAGCCUCUUUUCUUGCAUGGAUGUUGCAAAGAGCAUGAAGUCCUCCAUGGCUUUUAAAGAAGGCUUUUGUUGAAUUAGCAGAACCUACCAGAGCUCCUGGAAAUUCUGGGUUUCCGGUCUCUGGGGGCGUCUUCACUCCAAGCCUCGGUGCCCUUACUUGGAUUUGCAAGUUUAGAGUUAAAGUAAGUGUCAGAAAUACGUGUGGUGAUUACAGACACUUUGUAGCCAAUAAUUUCCAUAGUGGAACUGAUAUCACUUCUUGACCUAUUUUUUCAGAGGACUUUUGCGCAAUAGUUACUUUAGAAGCACCCUCUUGAAAAGAAAUCUGAAAUGGACGUAAAAGGCUAUAUUUAUUUGUUCAUAGCAUUUCUUGAUGACCUGCUUUAUGCAAGAUUUCAAAGAGCUCACAGCUAUUAAUGACUACUUAAAACUCUUAAUAUCCAAAAUAUAUAAGGAACUCAUACAAAUCAAUACCAAAAAUACAAACAACUGGAUUAAAAAAUGGGCAAGGGACCAAAAUAGACACUUCUUAGAAAAGGAAAUUCAGAAUGCCAAUAAACAUGUGAAAAGGUGCUCCACAUCUGUAAUUAUCAGGUAAAUGCAGGUCAAAACCAUAAUGAGAUAUCACUUCAUACCUUUUAGGGUGACUAUUGUAAAAAAGAUAAAAGAUAGCAAAUGUCGGCAAAGAUGUGGAGAAAGUAGAACCCUUGUUCACUGUUGUUAGGAAUAUACCUGGCUAGAGCUUUUAUAUUAAGAAAAUGUAUUGAGUUAUUGGAAUUUAGUGUCAUGCCUUGUACACAUCCAGUGUUUCUCAUUAAAUCUGAAUUGCUAAUCUGAGGUCAGUAUUAAGUCCACAGAAAGUUGUGCUUGUUAGAGAAUCACAGAAUAAUGUAGUUUAUGAGAGAGCCUACUAAGAGGCAAAGUGCC